UGGGGAAUAUUGCACAAUGGGCGCAAGCCUGAUGCAGCCAUGCCGCGUGUAUGAAGAAGGCCUUCGGGUUGUAAAGUACUUUCAGCGGGGAGGAAGGGAGUAAAGUUAAUACCUUUGCUCAUUGACGUUACCCGCAGAAGAAGCACCGGCUAACUCCGUGCCAGCAGCCGCGGUAAUGCGGAGGGUGCAAGCGUUAAUCGGAAUUACUGGGCGUAAAGCGCACGCAGGCGGUUGAUUGAGUCAGAUGUGAAAUCCCCGGGCUUAACCCGGGAAUUGCAUCUGAUACUGGUCAGCUAGAGUCUUGUAGAGGGGGGUAGAAUUCCAUGUGUAGCGGUGAAAUGCGUAGAGAUGUGGAGGAAUACCGGUGGCGAAGGCGGCCCCCUGGACGAAGACUGACGCUCAGGUGCGAAAGCGUGGGGAGCAAACAGG
Molecule: ribosomal RNA, 429 nt
Filed under: Chloroflexota bacterium
Lineage: Bacteria; Bacillati; Chloroflexota
Description: Chloroflexi bacterium partial 16S ribosomal RNA
Rfam family: Bacterial small subunit ribosomal RNA
Source: RNAcentral